Long non-coding RNA from Leopardus geoffroyi (Geoffroy's cat), 866 nucleotides. RefSeq lists it as uncharacterized. The record is from RefSeq and is a predicted model, not a curated record. NCBI's taxonomy places the organism in Eukaryota, Metazoa, Chordata, Mammalia, Carnivora, Felidae. The transcript is spliced from 2 exons.
CGGCUGAAGUUUAAACUGAUGUGUUUCCAAUCUACUACAGGUUGACCUUCACGUCGUUCUGUAACGUAUUUCACUUAACAGACGCCAGUAUUGCGUCACCACACGUCAGGUGCCGUUCUACGUGCUUCUUGCUUCGGAAACAUCCGCUCGCUCCGUCCUCACCGUGACCUUGUGACUUCAGCACUGUGAUUAUUAUCCUGUUUGAAAGAAGAGGCGACCGGGGCGGGGUGUUCACGCCUAGAUGGCAGAAGGCAGCACCAGACGGCUCCAGAAGUUUCCAUCGCCUGGUGUCUGGGCUGGGUUUCUGCCACUUGUAACCCAAAGAAUCUUAACUAAUGGCGAUAGUUAUUUCAACUGAGCGUAUAAUUUCGCCCGAGGUCUCUGGAAAGCCAAAGCAAAAAGUGAACCACACAACUCUCGUGCUCUGACAUCACAAACCCCAAUGCACCAUGAAAGAGCGCCUUUCCUCAAGGGCUCGGGCCGUUUUCUCAUGGUCUUUCGCACUGGUGGCCCGGAGCGACGUCUUCCACAGCUGUUUUGGAAAUGACGCAGAAACAUUCCUCAUGUGGCAGGCUGCCUCUUGGACUGAACCUUGACAAAAGACCAGCAACAGAAACCAAGCGUCAGUCAGCGUGCGUGAGGACCUCCUACGUCUUUUACCCAGAGAGGCAAACGGGCCACGGGGCUUGGGGUCUGGCCAUUAAUUGCCCCUGGCCCCUCUCUAUGGCCUCCUCAGGAGCACCUCCAAGUGCCGCUCUGAAGUUCGACUAACCCGUCAUCUCUUUGGUUGGAAGGUUGGUGUUUCCUUGCGAGACCACAAAGCCAUAUUACAUUCAAAGUUAAAUAAACAAACGUUCGAGUCUGUG